RNAcentral lists this ribosomal RNA (273 nucleotides) under uncultured bacterium. RNAcentral's name for it is "partial 16S ribosomal RNA". It matches the Rfam family "Archaeal small subunit ribosomal RNA", at positions 473 to 747 of the family's 1478-position model. The record is from RNAcentral.
AAACCAGCACCUCAAGUGGUCAGGAGGAUUAUUGGGCCUAAAGCAUCCGUAGCCUGCUGUAUAAGUUUUCGGUUAAAUCCAUGUGCUCAACACAUGGGCUGCCGGGAAUACUGUACAGCUAGGGAGUGGGAGAGGUAGACGGUACUGGUAGGAAGUGGUAAAAUGCUUUGAUCUAUCGAUGACCACCUGUGGCGAAGGCGGUCUACCAGAACACGUUCGACGGUGAGGGAUGAAAGCUGGGGGAGCAAACCGGAUUAGAAACCCUGGUAGUCC